Molecule: RNA transcript, 5355 nt
Organism: Gracilinanus agilis (Agile Gracile Mouse Opossum)
Lineage: Eukaryota; Metazoa; Chordata; Mammalia; Didelphimorphia; Didelphidae
Gene: SCAF8
Gene name: SR-related CTD associated factor 8
Exons: 22
Source: RefSeq, a predicted model, not a curated record
AUAUUGGCUGCCGCAGCUGCCGCCGCCGCCGCUGCCACCGCCGCCUCUGCCUCUUCCUCCUCCUCUACAGCCGCCACCGCCCUUAGCUGGUUCCUGUGUCCCGAGCGGUGGGGAGGAGAAGCGGGAACCGGUCGGAGGAGGAGGAAGAGGGUGGAGUGUGAGGAGAAGAAGGAGGGAGCAGAGGGUGGAGAAGAGAGGCCGAGCGCGGGGCGGAGAAGAGCAGGAGCCGCGGCGGCUCGGCCCCUCCCCCGCCCGCCCCGGCUGCGCUUCUGUUCCCCAGCCCGGAGCUCAGCUCGCCCCAGCAGCCAUGCCGAGGCCUCGCCGUCCCUGAGGAACCCGCCCCCACCCCCCUUCCUUCUCACUUUGAUUCCUACCCCGGCCCACAAGCGCCUUCGACCACUCCCGGGUUCCCCUGGGCGGCCCCUGGUCCCGUCCCCCCUUCUCUAGGCCGCCGCCGCCGCCUCCUCUUCCGCCACCGGGCGCUGGGGCCUUCGCACCGACAACAUGGAGGCCGUGAAAACCUUCAACAGCGAACUAUAUUCCCUGAAUGACUACAAGCCACCUAUUUCCAAGGCAAAAAUGACACAGAUUACUAAAGCAGCCAUCAAGGCUAUUAAGUUCUAUAAACAUGUGGUACAGAGUGUUGAGAAAUUCAUUCAGAAGUGUAAACCAGAAUAUAAGGUACCUGGGCUUUAUGUUAUUGACUCCAUUGUACGACAAUCGCGACAUCAGUUUGGUCAAGAAAAGGAUGUGUUUGCACCCAGAUUUAGUAAUAACAUCAUUAGCACUUUUCAGAAUUUAUAUCGUUGCCCUGGUGAUGACAAGAGUAAAAUAGUCAGGGUUCUAAACUUAUGGCAGAAGAAUAAUGUUUUUAAGAGUGAAAUUAUUCAGCCUCUUCUUGAUAUGGCAGCAGGAAUUCCACCACCAGUUGUCACACCUGUUUUGCCAAGUACAGCAGCAUCUAUGAGCAACAACACCCCAGGAACUCCUGUGACACCUGUUACUCCAGCAAAUGUGGUACAAGGUUUGCCUGACCCUUGGGUAUCUCAGAUAGCAAAUACAGAUACACUGGCUGCUGUGGCACAGAUUUUACAAAGUCCUCAAGGCCAACAGCUUCAGCAAUUAAUACAAACACUACAGAUUCAACAGCAGAAACCACAGCCUUCACUACUUCAAGCACUGGAUGCUGGUCUUGUUGUUCAGUUGCAGGCCUUGACAGCACAACUUACAGCUGCAGCUGCAGCAGCCAAUACUCUCAAUCCACUAGACCAAGCAGUCUCUUUUAAUAAGAAGUUGAUGGAUAGAUUUGAUUUUGGAGAAGAUUCUGAACGCAGUGAAGAAGCUAAAAAAGAAACUCCAUCUUCCCAGCUCUCUCAUGUUUCAGAGUCUGUAAACAACUCGAUUUUUCAUCAGUUAGCAGAACAACUACAACAACAAAAUCUUGAGCAUCUUCGACAGCAGCUCCUGGAACAGCAGCAACCUCAGAAGGUAACCACUCAGGAGAAUCCAGAGAGUACUUUUGGUUCAGAGCACUCUGCAUCACCAUCACAGGGAAGUAGCCAACAACAGUUCCUUGAACCUGAGACAAAUUUGGAUGAUUCUAUAGAUAUUCAGCAACAGGAUAUGGAACUAGAUGAAGGACAAGAUGUUGCUGAAGAAGAGGUCUUUGAGCAAGAAGAAAAGAAAGUGCCUAUUCGCUCUAGGUCAAGAACGCAUUCAAGAUCUCGUUCAAGGUCACCAAGAAAACGAAGGUCCAGGUCAAGGUCUGGUUCUAGAAAACGCAAACACAGGAAGCGAUCACGCUCACGUUCUAGAGAAAGAAAAAGAAAAUCUUCCCGUUCAUACUCUAGUGAAAGAAGAGCUAGGGAAAGAGAGAAAGAAAGACAGAAAAAAGGAUUGCCUCCGAUCCGAUCUAAAACAUUAAGUGUCUGUAGUACUACUCUCUGGGUUGGUCAAGUAGAUAAGAAAGCUACACAGCAAGAUUUAACCAAUCUUUUUGAAGAGUUUGGACAGAUUGAAUCCAUCAAUAUGAUUCCUCCAAGAGGCUGUGCUUAUGUCUGUAUGGUUCAUCGACAGGAUUCCUAUCGAGCACUUCAAAAACUUAGUUCUGGAUCUUAUAAAAUUGGGUCCAAAGUUAUAAAGAUUGCUUGGGCUUUAAACAAAGGUGUAAAAACAGAAUAUAAACAGUUCUGGGAUGUAGAUCUUGGAGUUACUUAUAUACCAUGGGAGAAAGUAAAGGUGGAUGACUUAGAUGGCUUUGCAGAAGGAGGCAUGAUUGAUCAGGAGACCGUAAAUAGUGAAUGGGAAACUGUGAAGAAUUCAGAGCCUAUCAAAGAGCCUGUUCAAACUGUAGAAAGUCCAACAACAGUUGAAAAGACACCAGUAGUAACUACACAGGCCGAAGUUUAUCCUCCACCUGUUGCUAUGUUGCAGAUUCCAGUAGCACCUGCUGUUCCUACAGUUAGUUUAGUUCCACCAACAUUUCCAGUGUCAAUGUCCGUUCCUCCUCCAGGAUUUAGUGCAAUUCCCCCACCUCCUUUCUUAAGAGCAAGUUUCAACCCAUCACAACCACCUCCUGGUUUCAUGCCACCACCAGUCCCACCACCUGUUGUGCCACCCCCUACUAUUCCUCCAGUAGUGGCGACAUCUCUGGUACAGCCUCCUAUAUCCAUGACUCCUGAGACAAUGAAAGAUGUUGCUUUUAGUAACCUUGUUUUGCCAGUUGGCUCUGUAUCUAGCAGUCUUGCUACUUCAACAAUGUCAGCUGGAAGUGUUUUUAAUCCUCCAAGUAACCAACCAGAGUCAGAAGAAAAAUUGUCACACCUCACAGACCACCAGCUUUCUUCUAGUGAAAGUACCAGACAAGUGAUCCACAAUGAUGUCACAAGUAGCUCUGGAAUUCUAGGUGGACAGCCACCAAAUAUGUCAAGCAGUUCUGGAAUUCUGGGUGGACAGCCACCAAACGUGUCCAGCAAUUCUGGAAUUCUGGGAGUACAGCCAUCUAAUGUUUCCAGUAGUUCUGGAAUUAUCGGAGCACAGCCACCAAAUAUUCCAAGUAGUUCCGGAAUUCUGGGACCACAACUACCCAAUGUGUCAGGUAGUUCUGGACUCUUGGGGGUACCACCCCCAAAUAUUCCUAGCAAUUCUGGACUCCUGGGAGUUCAGCCACCAAAUGUUCCAAGUAAUUCUGGAAUUCUGGGACCACAGCCACCAACUGGGCCUCAAAACUUGCCCCCAUUAAAUAUUCCUCAGCGGAUGCCUGGAAUACCAAUGUUAGAUAUUCGUCCAGGACUUAUACCACAGUCUCCUGGGCCAAGAUUCCCUUUAAUGCAGCCUGGACUUCCACCGCAAAGAGGAAUCCCUCCUCCAGCAAUCCUUGAUGCAUCUCUUCAUCCUCCACCUCGUGGUCCUUUUGCUCCAGGAGAUAUCUUCAGUCAGGCAGAGAGACCUUUUCCAGCUCCUUUAAGACAAAAUAUAGAUCACCUUCCUAAUCCAGAAAAAAGGCUACCACUUGGGAAUGAUAGUAUUCAACAGGAAGGAGAUAGAGAUUAUCGUUUUCCUCCUAUGGAAAACAGAGAGACCAUUAGUAGACCUUCACCAGUUGAUGUUAGGGACGUAGUAGGGCGACCUGUAGAUCCAAGAGAAGGUCCAGGGAGACCUCCAAUAGAUGGAAGGGAACACUUUGGAAGACCACAUAUAGAUAUAAGAGAAAAUCUUGUAAGACCAGGUUUAGAUAACCUUGGUCGAAGAGACCACUUUGGUUUUAAUUCAGAUAAGCCUUGGGGGCAUAGAGAUUUUGAUGAAAGAGAGCAUCGUGUUUUACCUCUCUAUGGUGGUCCCAAAGGCUUCCAUGAAGAUAGAGGUAGAUUUAGACAUGGAAAUUAUAGAUUUGAUCCUCGAAGUGGUCCCAUUUGGAACAGAGGAUUUGGACAGGAUGCUCACAGAGAUUUUGAUGACCGCAGAAGACCCUGGGAGAGACAAAGGGAUAGAGAUGACAGAGAUUUUGAUUUCUGCCGUGAAAUUAAUGGAAAUCGUUUUGGAAGAGACAGAAUUCAGAACACCUGGGUCCCACAUCCACACCCACGAGUUUUUGAUUAUUUUGAAGGGCCCAGUCCUCAACGAAAAGCUGAUAAUGUACCCCAGGUAAAUGGUGAAAAUACAGAGACAGAUAAUCAACCACCACCUUUACAAGUACAGAAUGAUCCUGAACUUUAUGAAAAACUGACAUCUUCAAGUGAAUUAAACAAAGAGAAGAAUGACACAGAAGCUGAUAUAGAAAGUGAACCAGUGGUAGAAAGCACAGAAACUGAGGGGACAUAAUCAUCACUCAGUAGGGAUAUGAUUUUUCCCCUGAGGACUGCUUUAGCUGCAUCCCAGAAAUUCUGGCAAGAUGAUGAAUGAAGUUCUGGCAUCGUCCUGUGUCCCAGGCCUUGUAGAAUUAAGUGAGACGUGCUUCAAAGUUCUAAUGUGCAUCACAUCGGAUCUUGUUUAAUGAAGCGUUAAAAGGAACCCAUCGUUACAUGUUGAGAAGGCUCUGUGCUUUUUUAUGCAUUGUUUCUGAUUGAAUCCAGAGAUUGCAAGCAUGCCUCCCCAUAUUACCUGUUUGGAGCAGGUUUAAUUUUAUAAAUUUUAAGCACAAACUCUAUGAGUUUCUAGUUCAUAUUUGUUCUUUUGAGGAUCCACUCAGAUGAACCAAGUUGCAUCUGUAAGAGACAUAAGCUUCUGCAGGCCCAGAAUAUAUUGGGAUAUAAAUUGCAACUAACUCUUUAUUUGUAACACCGCCGUGUAUGUGUAAUUGAAAGGACAGGUUGCAAGAGAAACUUCAGGGAAAAAAAGGUCCUGUUUUGUUUGCAACAAGAAUGUUGUUACCACAAUGAUUUUAGAAAACUAAAUUCUUUAAUUGAACACAGCAUGUGUAGACUGUGCAGUUCCUGAGUAGUGGCUAUAACCCAUUAAUAUUAGUGUCCUCCUUAGAUUUCCCCCCACUCUUCAACGUCUUAUGCUUUAUGAAACAUACAGUUGGGGAAAAAAUGCAGGAUUCAACAUAAUCUUUCUGAUAUUUAUCUCUGACCAUCAUUUCUUGUUCGCUGAAGCCAGGAGAUAUGAAUCAAGGCUGCGAGGCAUUGUGGGAGAAGGAAGUAAUGAUGACGAAUGAACAUAAUACAUUAUGUAGUUAUACAUACUUUAUAAGUAUGUUCAUUAUUAAGUUCAUUUGCAGGGAAGAGAAAUAACAGUUUCCUAUGAAUGUCCAAAAGUGUAUUAGGGGUUUCCAAGAUCAUCAGUAUUCAUUUUGCCUGUUGAAUACCUGCAGAAAACAUUCCCCCUACAUACACUCACACAUACACACACGCGCUC